RNAcentral lists this ribosomal RNA (373 nucleotides) under uncultured organism. RNAcentral's name for it is "partial 16S ribosomal RNA". It matches the Rfam family "Bacterial small subunit ribosomal RNA", at positions 527 to 896 of the family's 1533-position model. The record is from RNAcentral.
GAACCGGACAAACGUUAUUCGGAAUUAUUGGGCUUAAAGGGUGCGUAGGCGGCGCGGUAAGUGAGGUGUGAAAGCCCUCGGGCUCAACCGUGGAAUUGCGCUUCAUACUGCCGUGCUAGAGGGAGACAGAGGUAAGCGGAACUGAUGGUGGAGCGGUGAAAUGCGUUGAUAUUAUCAGGAACACCGGUGGCGAAGGCGGCUUACUGGGUCUCUUCUGACGCUGAGGCACGAAAGCUAGGGUAGCGAACGGGAUUAGAUACCCCGGUAGUCCUAGCUGUAAACGAUGAGCACUUGGUUGGGGAACCUCCCAUAGUUUCCCGACCGCAGCGAAAGUGUUAAGUGCUCCGCCUGGGGAGUAUGGCCGCAAAGGCUG